RNAcentral lists this transfer RNA (65 nucleotides) under Epanerchodus koreanus. Its description in RNAcentral is "tRNA-Ala". The record is from RNAcentral. Lineage: Eukaryota; Metazoa; Arthropoda; Diplopoda; Polydesmida; Polydesmidae.
AGGUUUAAAGUUAAGUUAUAAUGUUUAGUUUGCGUCUAGACGAGGCUGUUAUUAGGCUAAGCCUA